This 52-nucleotide microRNA precursor is filed under the name Equus asinus (donkey). Its description in RNAcentral is "mir-1302 microRNA precursor family". It matches the Rfam family "mir-1302 microRNA precursor family". The record is from Rfam by way of RNAcentral. RNAcentral also lists the same sequence under 1 other name. Lineage: Eukaryota; Metazoa; Chordata; Mammalia; Perissodactyla; Equidae.
UUUUUAGUAUAAAUAUGUUCCACGUAAUAUUUGGGACGUAUUUAUACUAAAA